UAACGGCCACACCGUGCCAAUAAUCGGUACGGGUCAUGAGAGUGAGAACCCGGAGACGGAAUCUGAGACAAGAUUUCCGGGCCCUACGGGGCGCAGCAGGCGCGAAACCUUUACACUGCACGCCAGUGCGAUAAGGGAAUCCCAAGUGCGCAGGCAUAGAGCCUGCGCUUUUGUCCACCGUAGGGAGGUGGACGAAUAAGGGCUGGGCAAGACCGGUGCCAGCCGCCGCGGUAAUACCGGCAGCCCGAGUGAUGGCCGAUCUUAUUGGGCCUAAAGCGUCCGUAGCUGGCCGCACAAGUCCAUCGGAAAAUCCACCCGCUCAACGGGUGGGCGUCCGGUGGAAACUGUGUGGCUUGGGACCGGAAGGCGCGACGGGUACGUCCGGGGUAGGAGUGAAAUCCCGUAAUCCUGGACGGACCGCCGAUGGCGAAAGCACGUCGCGAGGACGGAUCCGACAGUGAGGGACGAAAGCCAGGGUCUCGAACCGGAUUAGAUACCCGGGUAGUCCUGGCCGUAAACAAUGUCUGUUAGGUGUGGCUCCCACUACGAGUGGGUGCUGUGCCGUAGGGAAGCCGCUAAACAGACCGCCUGGGAAGUACGUCCGCAAGGAUGAAACUUAAAGGAAUUGGCGGGGGAGCACUACAACCGGAGGAGCCUGCGGUUUAAUUGGACUCAACGCCGGACAUCUCACCAGCAUCGACUGUAAUAAUGACGAUCAGGUUGAUGACCUUAUCCGAGUUUCAGAGAGGAGGUGCAUGGCCGCCGUCAGCUCGUACCGUGAGGCGUCCUGUUAAGUCAGGCAACGAGCGAGACCCGCAUCCUUACUUGCCAGCAGCACUGCGAAGUGGCUGGGGACAGUAGGGAGACCGCCGUGGCCAACACGGAGGAAGGAACGGGCAACGGUAGGUCAGUAUGCCCCGAAUGUGCUGGGCAACACGCGGGCUACAAUGGUCGAGACAAAGGGUUCCUACUCCGAAAGGAGACGGUAAUCUCAGAAACUCGAUCGUAGUUCGGAUUGUGGGCUGCAACUCGCCCACAUGAAGCUGGAUUCGGUAGUAAUCGCGUGUCAUAAGCGCGCGGUGAAUACGUCCCUGCUCCUUGCACACACCGCCCGUCAAAGCACCCGAGUGAGGUCCGGAUGAGGCGCGU
RNAcentral lists this ribosomal RNA (1149 nucleotides) under Halorubrum lipolyticum. RNAcentral describes it as "bacterial SSU rRNA". It matches the Rfam family "Archaeal small subunit ribosomal RNA", at positions 242 to 1387 of the family's 1478-position model. Lineage: Archaea; Methanobacteriati; Methanobacteriota; Halobacteria; Halobacteriales; Haloferacaceae. The record is from RNAcentral.